CUCCUCUGGCAAUGGGCAAAAAGGCACCUUAUUAGUGGUGUUCUUAUAUCAGUCAGGGGCAAAAUGGAUGGCAGUCCAUUAUUCAUUCUAACUUGAUGCCUGGUUUAGUAGCCAAAGCUGUCUUAUGCCUAGAACUCAUAA
This is a small nucleolar RNA of Mus pahari (shrew mouse), 141 nucleotides long. RefSeq annotates it as small nucleolar RNA SNORA48. The record is from RefSeq and is a predicted model, not a curated record. NCBI's taxonomy places the organism in Eukaryota, Metazoa, Chordata, Mammalia, Rodentia, Muridae. The transcript has a single exon.